This 114-nucleotide ribosomal RNA is filed under the name Erinaceus europaeus (western European hedgehog). The record is from RNAcentral. Lineage: Eukaryota; Metazoa; Chordata; Mammalia; Eulipotyphla; Erinaceidae.
AAUAACAGCCAUGCCACUCUGAACUUCCCCUAUCUCAUCUGACUCAGAAACUAUUCAGGUUUGGGCUUUGUUAGUAAUUGGAUGGGAGAAAUACUUUUUGAAGAGUAGUUACUU